RNAcentral lists this ribosomal RNA (482 nucleotides) under uncultured bacterium. RNAcentral describes it as "partial 16S ribosomal RNA". It matches the Rfam family "Bacterial small subunit ribosomal RNA", at positions 30 to 507 of the family's 1533-position model. The record is from RNAcentral.
AUUGAACGCUGGCGGCAUGCCUUACACAUGCAAGUCGAACGGUAACAGGUCUUCGGAUGCUGACGAGUGGCGAACGGGUGAGUAAUACAUCGGAACGUGCCCGAUCGUGGGGGAUAACGGAGCGAAAGCUUUGCUAAUACCGCAUACGAUCUACGGAUGAAAGCAGGGGACCGCAAGGCCUUGCGCGGACGGAGCGGCCGAUGGCAGAUUAGGUAGUUGGUGGGAUAAAAGCUUACCAAGCCGACGAUCUGUAGCUGGUCUGAGAGGACGACCAGCCACACUGGGACUGAGACACGGCCCAGACUCCUACGGGAGGCAGCAGUGGGGAAUUUUGGACAAUGGGCGAAAGCCUGAUCCAGCCAUGCCGCGUGCAGGAUGAAGGCCUUCGGGUUGUAAACUGCUUUUGUACGGAACGAAAAGUCUCUUUCUAAUAAAGAGGGUCCAUGACGGUACCGUAAGAAUAAGCACCGGCUAACUACGUG